RNAcentral lists this ribosomal RNA (1133 nucleotides) under uncultured organism. RNAcentral's name for it is "bacterial SSU rRNA". It matches the Rfam family "Bacterial small subunit ribosomal RNA", at positions 360 to 1480 of the family's 1533-position model. The record is from RNAcentral.
AAUUUUGCGCAAUGGACGAAAGUCUGACGCAGCAACGCCGCGUGAGCGAUGAAGGGUUUCGGAUUGUAAAGCUCUGUUGAGUGGGAAGAAAACUCUCCGGGAUAAUACCCCGGAGACUUGACGGUACCACUCGAGGAAGCCCCGGCUAAAUACGUGCCAGCAGCCGCGGUAAUACGUAUGGGGCAAGCGUUGUUCGGAAUCACUGGGCGUAAAGGGAGUGUAGGCGGAAAGGUAAGUUAGAAGUGUAAUCCACGGGCUUAACCCGUGACUCGCUUUUAAUACUGCUUUUCUUGAGUAUGGGAGAGGGAGAUGGAAUUCCAGGUGUGCCGGUGGAAUGCGUAGAUAUCUGGAAGAACACCAGUAGCGAAGGCGGUCUCCUGGCCCAAUACUGACGCUGAGGCUCGAAAGCGUGGGGAGCGAACAGGAUUAGAUACCCUGGUAGUCCACGCCGUAAACGAUGGACACUAGAUGUUGGCCUCUUCGGGGGUCGGUGUCGUAGCUAACGCGUUAAGUGUCCCGCCUGGGAAGUACGCUCGCAAGAGUGAAACUCAAAGGAAUUGACGGGGGCCCGCACAAGCGGUGGAGCAUGUGCUUUAAUUCGAUGCAACGCGAAGAACCUUACCUGGACUUGACAUGGGGGUGAAAGUUUUCAGAGAUGAAAACCCUUCCUUCGGGAACGCCCUACACAGGUGCUGCAUGGUUGUCGUCAGCUCGUGUCGUGAGAUGUUGGGUUAAGUCCCGCAACGAGCGCAACCCUUGUCCUUAGUUGCCAGCGGGUCAUGCCGGGAACUCUAGGGAGACUGCCUGGUACAACCAGGAGGAAGGUGGGGAUGACGUCAAAUCAUCAUGGCCCUUACGUCCAGGGCUAGACACGUGCUACAAUGGCCGGUACAGAGGGCUGCAAGACUGCGAAGUCAAGCCAAUCCCUAAAAACCGGUCUCAGUUCGGAUUGGAGUCUGCAAUUCGACUCCAUGAAGGUGGAAUCGCUAGUAAUCGCGGAUCAGCAUGCCGCGGUGAUACGUUCCCGGGCCUUGUACACACCGCCCGUCAAGCCACGAAAGAUGGCAGUGCCCGAAGUCGCUACUCUAACCCUCACGGGAGGAGAGCGCCGAAGGUAAGGCUGUUGAUUGGGG